This 497-nucleotide ribosomal RNA is filed under the name uncultured bacterium. Its description in RNAcentral is "partial 16S ribosomal RNA". It matches the Rfam family "Bacterial small subunit ribosomal RNA", at positions 28 to 507 of the family's 1533-position model. The record is from RNAcentral.
GAUGAACGCUGGCGGCGUGCCUAAUACAUGCAAGUCGAGCGAACAGACGAGGAGCUUGCUCCUCUGACGUUAGCGGCGGACGGGUGAGUAACACGUGGAUAACCUACCUAUAAGACUGGGAUAACUUCGGGAAACCGGAGCUAAUACCGGAUAAUAUAUUGAACCGCAUGGUUCAAUAGUGAAAGACGGUUUUGCUGUCACUUAUAGAUGGAUCCGUGCCGCAUUAGCUAGUUGGUAAGGUAACGGCUUACCAAGGCAACGAUGCGUAGCCGACCUGAGAGGGUGAUCGGCCACACUGGAACUGGGACACGGUCCAGACGCCUACGGGAGGCAGCAGUAGGGAAUCUUCCGCAAUGGGCGAAAGCCUGACGGAGCAACGCCGCGUGAGUGAUGAAGGUCUUCGGAUCGUAAAACUCUGUUAUUAGGGAAGAACAAAUGUGUAAGUAACUAUGCACGUCUUGACGGUACCUAAUCAGAAAGCCACGGCUAACUACGUG